This 305-nucleotide ribosomal RNA is filed under the name Clostridioides difficile. Its description in RNAcentral is "bacterial LSU rRNA". It matches the Rfam family "Bacterial large subunit ribosomal RNA", at positions 1329 to 1630 of the family's 2925-position model. The record is from RNAcentral. Lineage: Bacteria; Bacillati; Bacillota; Clostridia; Peptostreptococcales; Peptostreptococcaceae.
CCCACAGGCCGUAAACCCAAGGUUUCCAGGGGAAGGUUCGUCCGCCCUGGGUUAGUCGGGACCUAAGCUGAGGCCGAAAGGCGUAGGUGAUGGACAACAGGUUGAUAUUCCUGUACUACCGAUAACCGGUUGAGAGAAGGGAUGACACAGUAGGAUAAGCUAAGCACACUGUUGGUUAUGUGUGCCCAAGCAUUGAGGCAGUCAAAGUAGGCAAAUCCGCUUUGAUAAUGCUGGGAUGGGAUGGGGAGCGAAAUUUAGUAGCGAAGUAGCUGAUUUCACACUGUCAAGAAAAGUCUCUAUCGAGG